CCUACGGGAGGCAGCAGUGAGGAAUAUUGGUCAAUGGGCGCGAGCCUGAACCAGCCAAGUCGCGUGAGGGAAGACGGUCCUAUGGAUUGUAAACCUCUUUUGUCGGGGAGCAAAAGACGCCACGCGUGGCGUUCCGAGAGUACCCGACGCAACAGCAUCGGCUAACUCAGUGCCAGCCGCCGCGGUAAUACGGAGGAUCGGAGCGUUAUCCGGAUUUAUUGGGUUUAAAGGGAGCGUAGGUGGAUUGUUAAGUCAGUUGUGAAAGUUUGCGGCUCAACCGUAAAAUUGCAGUUGAAACUGGCAGUCUUGAGUACAGUAGAGGUGGGCGGAAUUCGAGGUGUAGCGGUGAAAUGCUUAGAUAUCACGAAGAACUCCGAUUGCGAAGGCAGCUCACUGGACUGCAACUGACACUGAUGCUCGAAAGUGUGGGUAUCAAACAGGAUUAGAUACCCUGGUAGUC
Molecule: ribosomal RNA, 460 nt
Filed under: uncultured bacterium
Lineage: Bacteria
Description: partial 16S ribosomal RNA
Rfam family: Bacterial small subunit ribosomal RNA
Source: RNAcentral